GCUAUCGUCUUCUAAUGGACUAGGAAUACAGAUUUUCAUCCUGUGAAAUACGGGUUCGAAUCCCGUCGAUAGUA
This 74-nucleotide transfer RNA is filed under the name Candidatus Roizmanbacteria bacterium. RNAcentral describes it as "tRNA-Glu". It matches the Rfam family "tRNA". Rfam says of the family: Transfer RNA (tRNA) molecules are approximately 80 nucleotides in length. Their secondary structure includes four short double-helical elements and three loops (D, anti-codon, and T loops). Lineage: Bacteria; Candidatus Roizmaniibacteriota. The record is from RNAcentral.